GACGAACGCUGGCGGCGUGCUUAACACAUGCAAGUCGAACGGAAAGGCCCUGCUUUUGUGGGGUGCUCGAGUGGCGAACAGGUGAGUAACACGUGAGUAACCUGCCCUUGACUUUGGGAUAACUUCAGGAAACUGGGGCUAAUACCGGAUAGGAGCUCCUGCUGCAUGGUGGGGGUUGGAAAGUUUCGGCGGUUGGGGAUGGACUCGCGGCUUAUCAGCUUGUUGGUGGGGUAGUGGCUUACCAAGGCUUUGACGGGUAGCCGGCCUGAGAGGGUGACCGGCCACAUUGGGACUGAGAUACGGCCCAGACUCCUACGGGAGGCGGCAGUGGGGAAUAUUGCACAAUGGGCGGAAGCCUGAUGCAGCAACGCCGCGUGCGGGAUGACGGCCUUCGGGUUGUAAACCGCUUUCGCCUGUGACGAAGCGUGAGUGACGGUAAUGGGUAAAGAAGCACCGGCUAACUACGU
Molecule: ribosomal RNA, 467 nt
Filed under: uncultured bacterium
Lineage: Bacteria
Description: partial 16S ribosomal RNA
Rfam family: Bacterial small subunit ribosomal RNA
Source: RNAcentral